AGGUCCAGCCUGCCCAGUGAUUUUAUUUAACGGCCGCGGUAUUCUAACCGUGCGAAGGUAGCGCAAUCACUUGUUUUCUAAAUAAAGACCAGUAUGAAAGGCAUCACGAGAACUUAACUGUCUCCUUUCUCCAAUCAGUGAACCUAAUCUCCCCGUGAAGAAGCGGGGAUCCCCCUAUAAGACGAGAAGACCCUGUGGAGCUUAAAAUAUAAUAUCAACUACUGCCCCAAUCACCCUCCCCACUUCCCCAGCGGCACCCUGAUCACAUAUUUUUGGUUGGGGUGACCGCGGAGAAAAACUUACCCUCCGUGAUGAAAAAGAAUUCCCUUAAACAACAAGUUACAACUUUAUGUAUCAAAAAAUUGACAUUCAUUGACCCAAUAAAUUGAUUAACGAAC
RNAcentral lists this ribosomal RNA (398 nucleotides) under Pristimantis marmoratus (marbled robber frog). RNAcentral's name for it is "partial 16S ribosomal RNA". It matches the Rfam family "Bacterial large subunit ribosomal RNA", at positions 1850 to 2457 of the family's 2925-position model. The record is from RNAcentral. Lineage: Eukaryota; Metazoa; Chordata; Amphibia; Anura; Strabomantidae.